RNAcentral lists this non-coding RNA (83 nucleotides) under Halalkalibacter akibai. Its description in RNAcentral is "Bacillus akibai c-di-GMP sequence". It matches the Rfam family "c-di-GMP-I riboswitch aptamer". From Rfam's summary of the family: GEMM was predicted in a large-scale screen for bacterial structured RNA regulatory elements. Genes associated with GEMM are involved in a diverse array of functions, including chemotaxis regulation, signal transduction, secretion and chitin. RNAcentral also lists the same sequence under 1 other name. The record is from RNAcentral. Lineage: Bacteria; Bacillati; Bacillota; Bacilli; Caryophanales; Bacillaceae.
ACUCGAUAAUGGCAAACUUAUUGAAAGAUAAGGACGCAAAGCGACGGGCCUAAUGCAAUGUGCGAUGGCAGCCGAGUACCGAA